This 72-nucleotide transfer RNA is filed under the name Candidatus Nanopusillus acidilobi. Its description in RNAcentral is "tRNA-Thr". It matches the Rfam family "tRNA". From Rfam's summary of the family: Transfer RNA (tRNA) molecules are approximately 80 nucleotides in length. Their secondary structure includes four short double-helical elements and three loops (D, anti-codon, and T loops). Further hydrogen bonds mediate the characteristic L-shaped molecular structure. tRNAs have two regions of fundamental functional importance: the anti-codon, which is responsible for specific mRNA codon recognition, and the 3' end, to which the tRNAs corresponding amino acid is attached (by aminoacyl-tRNA synthetases). tRNAs cope with the degeneracy of the genetic code in two manners: having more than one tRNA (with a specific anti-codon) for a particular amino acid; and 'wobble' base-pairing, i.e. permitting non-standard base-pairing at the 3rd anti-codon position. Lineage: Archaea; Nanobdellati; Nanobdellota; Candidatus Nanoarchaeia; Nanoarchaeales; Nanopusillaceae. The record is from RNAcentral.
GCCGCCGUAGCUCAGUGGUAGAGCGGUGGACUUGUAAUCCACAGGUCGUGGGUUCAAGUCCCACCGGCGGCA